GUUAUGGCUCAGGGGUAGAGUGCUCGCCUCGAAUGUGCAAGGUCCUGGGUUUGAUCUUCAGCACGACA
This 68-nucleotide transfer RNA is filed under the name Marmota monax (woodchuck). RNAcentral's name for it is "tRNA.Ser". The record is from RNAcentral. Lineage: Eukaryota; Metazoa; Chordata; Mammalia; Rodentia; Sciuridae.